Molecule: long non-coding RNA, 336 nt
Filed under: Capsella rubella
Lineage: Eukaryota; Viridiplantae; Streptophyta; Magnoliopsida; Brassicales; Brassicaceae
Description: long non-coding RNA (CRUB_LNC002012)
Source: RNAcentral
UAUUAGACGUCCACAUACAUAUAUAUAUACGUUUAAAAAUACUCACCAGUCCUUUUCCUCUGCUUAGCCACAAAGAAACAUACCCCAAUUGCCACUUUUGAUCAUUUAAAUGCUCUUUUCUUGCAGAUUCAAUAUGAAAGUUUUAACCUAAUUGAAAGCACAUAAAAAAAAAAAAGAUAUCGCGUCACUAAUCAAGUUGGUUAGGACUAUAUAUAUAUAGUAAAUUACGUAGGCAAGUGAACUUUCAAACGGUCAUAUCAUUAAGAAAUAUGAAGCAUCGCCUCUCAGUGGAUCAAAAUCUCAUCAAAUGGCCGGGUUACUAGUUUUGAAAUUUCA